AUUGAACGCUGGCGGCAGGCCUAACACAUGCAAGUCGAGCGGAUGAAGGGAGCUUGCUCUUGGAUUCAGCGGCGGACGGGUGUGUAAUGCCUAGGAAUCUGCCUAGGAGUGGGGGAUAACGGCCGGAAACGGGCGCUAAUACCGCAACCGUCCUGAGGGAGAAAGUGGGGGAUCUUUGGACCUCACGCUAUCAGAUCAGUCUAGGUCGGAUUAGCUAGUUGGUGGGGUAAAGGCCUACCAAGGCGAGUAUCCGUAACUGGUCUGAGAGGAUGAUCAGUCACACUGGAACUGAGACACGGUCCAGACUCCUACGGGAGGCAGCAGUGGGGAAUAUUGGACAAUGGGCGAAAGCCUGAUCCAGCAAUGCCGCGUGUGUGAAGAAGGUCUUCGGAUUGUAAAGCACUUUAGGUUGGGAGGAAGGGCAGUAAGUUAAUACCUUGCUGUUUUGACGUUACCAAAAGAAUAAGCACCGGCUAACUUCGUG
Molecule: ribosomal RNA, 484 nt
Filed under: uncultured bacterium
Lineage: Bacteria
Description: partial 16S ribosomal RNA
Rfam family: Bacterial small subunit ribosomal RNA
Source: RNAcentral